Molecule: long non-coding RNA, 207 nt
Filed under: Nicotiana benthamiana
Lineage: Eukaryota; Viridiplantae; Streptophyta; Magnoliopsida; Solanales; Solanaceae
Description: long non-coding RNA (NBEN_LNC017963)
Source: RNAcentral
UACUCCCUUAUGUUUCCCUUGCCUUUAUACCUCAUGGAAACAAGUUUACUCAAAAGAGUACUUGUUUCCGCCUUUUUGUUUUGUGCAAAACGCUUUUUAAGGUUUUCAAGGAAAACUUUGGCAUUAUUUUCAUCAUUCAUAGUACCCCUGAAUGAUUCUAGAAUUGCACGUUUCAUGAUCAUUAGACUCAUGCGAUUUGAGCGUUCC